Molecule: long non-coding RNA, 617 nt
Filed under: Salmo salar (Atlantic salmon)
Lineage: Eukaryota; Metazoa; Chordata; Actinopteri; Salmoniformes; Salmonidae
Description: lncRNA (ENSSSAG00000092981.1)
Source: RNAcentral
ACUCCUCUCUGUAAUGGUGUGGGUGGUGUAGGGGGAGAACUCCUCUCUGUAAUGGUGUGGGUGGUGUAGGGGAGAACUCCUCUCUGUAAUGGUGUGGGUGGUGUAAGGGGAGAACUCCUCUCUGUAAUGGUGUGGGUGGUGUAGGGGGGGAACUCCUCUCUGUAAUGGUGUGGGUGGUGUAGGGGGGGAACUCCUCUCUGUAAUGGUGUGGGUGGUGUAGGGGGAGAACUCCUCUCUGUAAUGGUGUGGGUGGUGUAGGGGGAGAACUCCUCUCUGUAAUGGUGUGGGUGGUGUAGUGGGAGAACUCCUCUCUGUAAUGGUGUGGGUGGUGUAGUGGGAGAACUCCUCUCUGUAAUGGUGUGGGUGGUGUAGGGGGGGAACUCCUCUCUGUAAUGGUGUGGGUGGUGUAGGGGGAGAACUCCUCUCUGUUCCACCCUAUAGGUCAGUGGUUCCACCCUUCUGAUAUUUCCCUGUUCUCUGAAUCGCCCCUUCCUCUCCUCCUCCUCUCCCCUUCCUCUCCUCCUCCUCUCCCCCUCCUCUCACUUUCCUCUCCCCCUCCUCUCCUCCUCCUCUCCCCUUCCUCUCCCCCUCCUCUCCUCCUCCUCUCCCCUUCCUCU